Camellia sinensis is the source of this 2083-nucleotide non-coding RNA. NCBI's taxonomy places the organism in Eukaryota, Viridiplantae, Streptophyta, Magnoliopsida, Ericales, Theaceae. The record is from RefSeq and is a predicted model, not a curated record.
CUUGAUAUGCAUUUGUUAACGCUACUUCUAAUAUGUGUGGUAAUAAUCAAAUCUCUAGUCAAAUUUUGAUCCAAACACACAGCUUAAGCAAAUCCAUAACACAACUUAACCAAAUCCCUAAUCAUAUCCAUGGACUUCACAAAAUUCCUAAGGUGAUAUUACAUGUUGAUAAUGACGUGUUAUCAUCUUAUUACGCUUAAUUUGUAUUUUUGUUAGCUGUGAGGAAUAUCAUUAUUAAAUCAUCAAUGCAUUGUGCACAUCAACAUCAUAUUCACCACUCUGUAUCUUGAGUAAGGGGUAGACUACUGUAAUAUAACCGUCACAUAAAAUGCCAUCUCUAUUCAUUUCAAGCCACUCAUUUUGAUAGAAUUUCCACAAAAUUUCCAAAAGUCAUUUUCUUUACUACUAACCAAUUAAACACAUUUAAAAGUAAGAUUUGGACUGAAUGUGAUUGAUGAUGACACAAUGUUGCGUUAGAGCCAAGUUAUGACCUUGACCUGCAUUAUAGUCAUAGAUGCCCUCUUAUAUAUCGUUGUCAUUUCAUUAAGACUGUAGAAUUUUCCAACAGAUCAGUUGGGCUUGGUGCAAGUUAGGGCCAUAUUAGCAUAUAGUUGCAUAGGCAAUUGGCAUGGGUUUUGAGAAUUUUCAUCCUUUAGUUUUAUUUAUUUAAUUUAAUUUUUUUGGAAAAGUAACAUUACAAUAACUAUCUAUUUCUACGUGUUAUUGUACCACCUAAUAUGUUAGUCUAGUUGUUAGUAAUACAUUGGAGAUAUACAUGAGUGGUGGAUCCAGUACACCAAUAUUAUAUUAACAAAUAAGAUGAUAAGCAUAUAAUAUAGUUUAAAAAUAUGAUUAGUGUAGCAUUAUUGUAUUGUUAGUGAAGAAUCUGUGGACCUACCUUCAGUGAGACCGGGGUAAAUCCCAGAUAUGUACAAUCACCCGCUAGCUUUGUAUAUCAAGCCAAAAAGACUCAAAUUUAAGACCUCCUGAUUGUUUACAUGGGAUCUUAUCAUUCAAGCUAACUUUCACAAGUUUGAGAAUUUUUAAUUUUAAAAUUUACAACGAAACAGAACCAAGAAUUUUUUUUUUUUUUUUGCGUGACCCUAAGUGUUAUUUACCAAGAAUAGAGAAUAAUUUUACAAAGGAAUUGAGGGAAAUCCAACAUAAAUUUGACUGGAAGUAUCAUCCAAGAAGUUGGUUAGAUGAAAUUGUCGGAAUCUCUUGACUUGUCUACAAAUGAGCUUUCUGGCUCGAUUCCUACCAGCCUCACUAAUCUAAACUUUCUCAGUGUGUUGAAUUUGUCAAUAACAGGUUGUCAAGAAAAAUCCCAAUAAGCACUCAAUUGGAAAGCUUUGAUCCUUUUGUGUACUUGGGAAACCCUGAACUUUGUGGGCUUCCACUUCCAAAUAAGUGUCCGGGAGAAGAAAUAACUGUGGAACAUCCAAUUCUUGUUCGUGGAAAAGACAAAAGGAUUCAAGAAUACGAUGGCAAGAUUAUUACCACUGGAUUUUAUGUUAGUUUGGGGCUGGGUUUCAUCCUUGGAUUUUGGACAACUUUUGGCGCUAUGAUUUUUAACAAACCAUCUAGACAUGCUUAUUUUGAGUUUUUGAACCGCAUAAAGAAUUGGUUUUAUGUAACCACUGCACUGAGUAUGGCUAGAUUGCAAAGGAGGCUUUAAAGGUAAAUGGUCUAUGUUGCAAGCAAUCUUCAGCUCAUUGGUCUCAAUAUCUAUCUAUUUGGUCAUGUUGUGGAGCUGGCUUUGGCUUGUUGGUCUGAAGAUCAUCUGUAUAGUAACUUCUAUUGUCCCCAUUCAUGCGUAUUCAAUGUCUGGUUUUGUGAUCAAUUUUUGUGGUUGAACAAAACAAUUGCUGAAAGUGAUCAUCAACCUUGUUUAGUCUUGUUUUUCUUUUUUGGUCUUUAUUUUUUUAUUGGGUUAUAGUAAGGAAGUUGAUUCAACAGAGGUGCAAGCUGUGAGUUAACAAACAAAAGAUCUAAGUCGAGCUUUUGGCACUUCUUGUUCCUCGGGCAAUCUAUGUAUUUUUGAAGGAUUAUAAUAUCAACUUGAUAAAUAUUUGAUGUGGAA